UGACAAAGAGGAAGAAGAAACUCGAAUGUCGGAGUGGCAGCGAUUGAAAGACGAUGAGAAUGAACGUUUACUUAAAGAAAGCAGAACUAUUUCUGAUAUUCUUUUUGUUUCAAAUGUCGAUGUUUACAGAAAUCUUCCAUCCCAGUUGCUUCAGUUUUCUCGUGGCUCUCGGCGACUUUAAGUUUUUCCUUUGUAAUGAAAACUGACGAUGAUUGUUUUGUUAACCUGGAGACCAUCUUACAGCUUUCGUACUGAUUGGUUGAUCGAGAGACAGGAAAAUGGGCCGAGCCUGAUUAUCCAGGAGUGGCUUAUCCGACAUUUGCCUGCGGUGCGGGCAGCAUUAUAUCUUCGGAUAUUGUUCACUGGCUG
Xenia sp. Carnegie-2017 is the source of this 369-nucleotide long non-coding RNA. RefSeq lists it as uncharacterized. The record is from RefSeq and is a predicted model, not a curated record. The transcript has 3 exons. NCBI's taxonomy places the organism in Eukaryota, Metazoa, Cnidaria, Anthozoa, Malacalcyonacea, Xeniidae.